This 412-nucleotide ribosomal RNA is filed under the name uncultured bacterium. RNAcentral's name for it is "partial 16S ribosomal RNA". It matches the Rfam family "Bacterial small subunit ribosomal RNA", at positions 355 to 757 of the family's 1533-position model. The record is from RNAcentral.
UGGGGAAUAUUGCACAAUGGGCGCAAGCCUGAUGCAGCCAUGCCGCGUGUGUGAAGAAGGCCUUCGGGUUGUAAAGCACUUUCAGCGAGGAGGAAGGGUUCAGUGUUAAUAGCACUGUUCAUUGACGUUACUCGCAGAAGAAGCACCGGCUAACUCCGUGCCAGCAGCCGCGGUAAUACGGAGGGUGCAAGCGUUAAUCGGAAUUACUGGGCGUAAAGCGCACGCAGGCGGUUUGUUAAGUCAGAUGUGAAAUCCCCGCGCUUAACGUGGGAACUGCAUUUGAAACUGGCAAGCUAGAGUCUUGUAGAGGGGGGUGAGAAUUCCAGGCGUAGCGGUGAAAUGCGUAGAGAUCUGGAGGAAUACCGGUGGCGAAGGCGGCCCCCCUGGACAAAGACUGACGCUCAGGUGCGAA